CAAGACCUUGCGCUUUUGGAGCGGCCGAUGUCUGAUUAGCUAGUUGGUGAGGUAAAGGCUUACCAAGGCGUCGAUCAGUAGCUGGUCUGAGAGGACGACCAGCCACACUGGGACUGAGACACGGCCCAGACUCCUACGGGAGGCAGCAGUGGGGAAUUUUGGACAAUGGGGGAGACCCUGUUCCAGCCAUGCCGCGUGAGUGAAGAAGGCCUUCGGUUGUAAGCUCGCUCAGCCGGAACGAAACGGUCACGGCUAAUACCCGUGACAACUGACGGUACCGGAAGAAGAAGCCCCGGCUAACUACGUGCCAGCAGCCGCGGUAAUACGUAGGGUGCGAGCGUUAAUCGGAAUUACUGGGCGUAAAGCGUGCGCAGGCGGUUUUGUAAGUCAGAUGUGAAUUCCCCGGGCUUAACCUGGGAACU
Molecule: ribosomal RNA, 422 nt
Filed under: uncultured Nitrosospira sp.
Lineage: Bacteria; Pseudomonadati; Pseudomonadota; Betaproteobacteria; Nitrosomonadales; Nitrosomonadaceae
Description: bacterial SSU rRNA
Rfam family: Bacterial small subunit ribosomal RNA
Source: RNAcentral